This is a long non-coding RNA of Cyprinodon tularosa, 204 nucleotides long. RefSeq lists it as uncharacterized. NCBI's taxonomy places the organism in Eukaryota, Metazoa, Chordata, Actinopteri, Cyprinodontiformes, Cyprinodontidae. The record is from RefSeq and is a predicted model, not a curated record. The transcript is spliced from 3 exons.
GGAGGGGGGUGGUGUGAGGGGGGUCAAACUGUGUUAAAAACCUGUUAAGCUCGUCAGCAAACUUGAUGUCCCUGCAGCCCUGCUGGUGGUGUUCCUCUGCCCAAAGCUGGAGAAGGCAGUAGAACAGCUCAGCAAAAACAGGAAGAGACAGCAGAGACGGAGGAACAGGCCAGAAUGAGGAGACAGAGAUGGAACAAGAAGCUG